This 274-nucleotide ribosomal RNA is filed under the name uncultured bacterium. RNAcentral's name for it is "partial 16S ribosomal RNA". It matches the Rfam family "Bacterial small subunit ribosomal RNA", at positions 523 to 796 of the family's 1533-position model. The record is from RNAcentral.
AUACGUAGGGAGCGAGCGUUACCCGGAAUUACUGGGCGUAAAGCGCGUGUAGGCGGCUUCGUUAGUCGGAUGUGAAAUCCCAGGGCCCAACCCUGGAACUGCAUCCGAUACUGCGAAGCUAGAGUCCUGGAGAGGAUGGCGGAAUUCCGGGUGUAGAGGUGAAAUUCGUAGAUAUCCGGAGGAACACCAGAGGCGAAGGCGGCUCACUGGACUGAUACUGACGCUGAGGUACGAAAGCGUGGGGAGCAAACAGGAUUAGAUACCCCAGUAGUCC